Molecule: transfer RNA, 71 nt
Filed under: Dactylonectria macrodidyma
Lineage: Eukaryota; Fungi; Ascomycota; Sordariomycetes; Hypocreales; Nectriaceae
Description: Ilyonectria macrodidyma tRNA
Rfam family: tRNA
About the family: Transfer RNA (tRNA) molecules are approximately 80 nucleotides in length. Their secondary structure includes four short double-helical elements and three loops (D, anti-codon, and T loops).
Source: Rfam by way of RNAcentral
GCGUGGAUGGUUUAAUGGUAAAAUGCGGGCUUCCCAUGCCUGUGCUCCGGGUUCGAUUCCCGGUCCUCGCA